RNAcentral lists this ribosomal RNA (460 nucleotides) under uncultured bacterium. RNAcentral describes it as "partial 16S ribosomal RNA". It matches the Rfam family "Bacterial small subunit ribosomal RNA", at positions 338 to 795 of the family's 1533-position model. The record is from RNAcentral.
CCUACGGGAGACAGCAGUGAGGAAUAUUGGUCAAUGGCCGUAAGGCUGAACCAGCCAAGUAGCGUGAGGGAAGACUGCCCUAUGGGUUGUAAACCUCUUUUAUGCGGGGGUAAAGGUGUCCACGUGUGGAUGUUUGCAGGUACCGCAUGAAUAAGGACCGGCUAAUUCCGUGCCAGCAGCCGCGGUAAUACGGAAGGUCCGGGCGUUAUCCGGAUUUAUUGGGUUUAAAGGGUGCGUAGGCCGGUCUUUAAGCGUGCCGUGAAAUUUUGUGGCUCAACCAUGAGAGUGCGGCGCGAACUGGAGACCUUGAGUGCGCGGAAGGCAGGCGGAAUUCGUGGUGUAGCGGUGAAAUGCUUAGAUAUCACGAAGAACGCCGAUUGCGAAGGCAGCAUGCCGGAGCGUUACUGACGCUGAAGCUCGAAAGCGCGGGUAUCGAACAGGAUUAGAUACCCCAGUAGUC